Molecule: unclassified non-coding RNA, 1025 nt
Filed under: Hevea brasiliensis (rubber tree)
Lineage: Eukaryota; Viridiplantae; Streptophyta; Magnoliopsida; Malpighiales; Euphorbiaceae
Source: RNAcentral
UAUUAAAAAAAAAAACCCUAUUUUUUCUUAAGCCACCUGCUCAAUCUCAACAUCUAUGAGAGAGUUUAUCGACGGCCGAAGAUAUCACCGGAAUUUCGCUACUUCCACCGACGAAGCGAAAAAAAUUCACCAAAAUCUCACUAACUUUUCUUUUCGAUUAUUAAGAGAAUAAGGGGUGUGCUGUUCCGAGCAAAUAAUCCUUCCAAGUUAUCUUAUUCGAUUAGAGAAGUUGAUAUCUUUUGUCAUUCUAUUCUGAAUAUGGCAGAUUCUGGUGAAUCUCAACAGCCUGAACCAGUGUGUAAUUUUUUCAGAAAGCCUCUGAAGAACAAGAACAUUAGAAAGAGAAUAAUUGAGGAAGAUGAAGAUGAGGAUUCAAAAAAUGAAAGCUCUUUGCUGCACAAUCAGAAAAAAGCCCCAAAACCCGACAAUAAGUUGUUCUUUUCCUCUGGACCUUCCAAAAGUUCAAUGUCCACUGAAUCAGAUGUUGAAUCUGAUAGAAAAAUCUUUCAGUUUGAGUCUUCAAAGGAAAUUCAAGUUCAACAUGAUAGUAGAGCAACAGCAACUCUAGAAACUGAAACUGAGUUCUCAAAAGAUGCUCGGGCCAUUCGUGAGAGAGCUCUUAAGCAAGCAGAGGAGGCUCUGAAAGGUAAAAAUCCAAGCUCUGGUAACGAAAAGCUGUAUAAAGGAAUUCAUGGGUAUACUGAUCAUAAAGCUGGGUUUCGAAGAGAGCAAACAAUUUCAAGUGAAAAAGCGGGUGGAGCUCAUGGGCCUCUUAGGGCCUCUGCUCAUAUUAGGGUGUCAGCAAGAUUUGAUUAUCAGCCGGACAUUUGCAAGGAUUACAAAGAAACCGGUUACUGUGGGUAUGGAGAUGCAUGUAAAUUCAUGCAUGAUCGAGGGGAUUACAAGCCUGGUUGGCAGCUGGAGAAGGAGUGGGAAGAGGCAGAGAAGAUAAGGAAGAGAAAUUUGGCUUUGGGAGAGGAUGAGGGUGGUGUAGAACAGAGUGAUGAAGAAGAAGAUGAUGAUGA